GAUCAUGGCUCAGGAUGAACGCUAGCGACAGGCUUAACACAUGCAAGUCGAGGGGCAGCAUGAGGUAGCAAUACCUUGAUGGCGACCGGCGCACGGGUGAGUAACGCGUAUGCAACCUGCCCGAUACCGGGGGUAUAGCCCAUGGAAACGUGGAUUAACACCCAUAGUACUUUUAUCCUGCCUGGGAUGGGAGUUAAAUGUUCAAGGUAUCGGAUGGGCAUGCGUCCUAUUAGUUAGUUGG
Molecule: ribosomal RNA, 241 nt
Filed under: uncultured bacterium
Lineage: Bacteria
Description: partial 16S ribosomal RNA
Rfam family: Bacterial small subunit ribosomal RNA
Source: RNAcentral